CAGGGAUGUGGGGUGUGAUGUGCUGUACGCCUGUGAAGUCAAAACUGUUGAUCCACAGACCGGAGUCUUGGCUCUCCACCUGGCCCUGGAGAUUGUGGAAGGUCCGCGUCGUAUGCUGCAGGAGGGUGGAUAAAACAGGAAGACUCGUUUUGGCCGCGGGCUGUCUGGACUGCCUGAAUAAGGAAAGAAGAGGCCACAGGACAUCAACAGGAACGUGACGGUGAAGACUGAGGCUAGACCAGCCAGGAUCCACUUAGUGCUCCGUGCCAAGUAGAUGAAAUGCAGCUGAGGCAGACAUAGAAAUAUAAUAUGUUACUGGAGUGGAGGAACAAAUCUACACUGCAGACUUUCUGAAAUUGCAACAAACAUGAGAACAUUAUUGGUAAAAUGGGAGAUUAUUAAUUAUAUGUACUGCCACUCAGUCAACUGUAAAACAGCCGUUGGUUUGCUUAUCUGAAGUCAAACAAUGAAUGUCAAUAAACUGCUCAAACAAAGCAUAACUGCCAGAAGGUUGACCGA
Sebastes umbrosus (honeycomb rockfish) is the source of this 519-nucleotide long non-coding RNA. RefSeq lists it as uncharacterized. The transcript is spliced from 2 exons. Lineage: Eukaryota; Metazoa; Chordata; Actinopteri; Perciformes; Sebastidae. The record is from RefSeq and is a predicted model, not a curated record.